This 73-nucleotide transfer RNA is filed under the name Felis catus (domestic cat). It matches the Rfam family "tRNA". Rfam says of the family: Transfer RNA (tRNA) molecules are approximately 80 nucleotides in length. Their secondary structure includes four short double-helical elements and three loops (D, anti-codon, and T loops). Further hydrogen bonds mediate the characteristic L-shaped molecular structure. tRNAs have two regions of fundamental functional importance: the anti-codon, which is responsible for specific mRNA codon recognition, and the 3' end, to which the tRNAs corresponding amino acid is attached (by aminoacyl-tRNA synthetases). tRNAs cope with the degeneracy of the genetic code in two manners: having more than one tRNA (with a specific anti-codon) for a particular amino acid; and 'wobble' base-pairing, i.e. permitting non-standard base-pairing at the 3rd anti-codon position. The record is from Rfam by way of RNAcentral. Lineage: Eukaryota; Metazoa; Chordata; Mammalia; Carnivora; Felidae.
ACCUGGCUGGCUCAGUUGGUCGUGCAUGCAACUCUUGAUCUUGGAGUUGUGGGUUCGAGUCCCACGUUAGGUG